CCACCUGAUCCCUUCCCGAACUCAGAAGUGAAACGAUGCAUCGCCGAUGGUAGUGUGGGGUCUCCCCAUGUGAGAGUAGGUCAUCGUCAAGC
RNAcentral lists this ribosomal RNA (92 nucleotides) under Gammaproteobacteria bacterium. Lineage: Bacteria; Pseudomonadati; Pseudomonadota; Gammaproteobacteria. The record is from RNAcentral.